GACGAACGCUGGCGGCGUGCCUAACACAUGCAAGUCGAACGGCGCCAGGGGGCUUGCCCCCUGGCGCAGUGGCGGACGGGUGAGUAACGCGUGAGCAACCUGCCUCGAAAUGGGGGAUACCGCUGUGAAAACAGCGCUAAUACCGCAUAACGUGCGGAGACCGCCUGGUUUCCGCACCAAAGAUUCAUUGUUUCGAGAUGGGCUCGCGUCCGAUUAGCUAGUUGGCGGGGUAACGGCCCACCAAGGCUGCGAUCGGUAGCCGGACUGAGAGGUCGGACGGCCACAUUGGGACUGAGAUACGGCCCAGACUCCUACGGGAGGCAGCAGUGGGGAAUAUUGGGCAAUGGGCGCAAGCCUGACCCAGCAACGCCGCGUGAGGGAAGAAGGCCUUCGGGUUGUAAACCUCUUUUCCAUGGAAAGAUAAUGACGGUACCAUGGGAAUAAGCCACGGCUAACUACGUGCCAGCAGCCGCGGUAAUACGUAGGUGGCGAGCGUUGUCCGGAAUUACUGGGUGUAAAGGGCGCGUAGGCGGGGGGGCAAGCCCGAUGUGAAAUGCCGAAGCUCAACUUCGGCACUGCAUUGGGAACUGCCGCCCUUGAGUGGCGGAGAGGUAAGCGGAAUUCCGAGUGUAGCGGUGGAAUGCGUAGAUAUUCGGAGGAACACCAGUGGCGAAGGCGGCUUACUGGACGCCAACUGACGCUGAGGCGCGAAAGCGUGGGGAGCAAACAGGAUUAGAUACCCUGGUAGUCCACGCGGUAAACGAUGGACGCUAGGUGUGGGGGGACUGACCCCCCCCGUGCCGGAGCUAACGCAAUAAGCGUCCCACCUGGGGAGUACGUUCGCAAGAAUGAAACUCAAAGGAAUUGACGGGGGCCCGCACAAGCAGUGGAGUAUGUGGUUUAAUUCGAAGCAACGCGAAGAACCUUACCAGGGCUUGACAUCCCGCUAACGAGGCGGAGACGCGUCAGGUGCCCUUCGGGGAAAGCGGAGACAGGUGGUGCAUGGUUGUCGUCAGCUCGUGUCGUGAGAUGUUGGGUUAAGUCCCGCAACGAGCGCAACCCUUGCGGCUAGUUGCUACGAAAGAGCACUCUAGCCGGACCGCCGUUGACAAAACGGAGGAAGGCGGGGACGACGUCAAAUCAUCAUGCCCCUUAUGCCCUGGGCUACACACGUACUACAAUGGCGGCCAUACAGAGGGGAGCGCGGCGGCGACGCCAAGCGAAUCCCUAAAAGCCGCCCCAGUUCAGAUUGCAGGCUGCAACUCGCCUGCAUGAAGCCGGAAUUGCUAGUAAUCGCGGAUCAGCAUGCCGCGGUGAAUACGUUCCCGGGU
RNAcentral lists this ribosomal RNA (1331 nucleotides) under uncultured Clostridiaceae bacterium. RNAcentral describes it as "bacterial SSU rRNA". It matches the Rfam family "Bacterial small subunit ribosomal RNA", at positions 28 to 1379 of the family's 1533-position model. Lineage: Bacteria; Bacillati; Bacillota; Clostridia; Eubacteriales; Clostridiaceae. The record is from RNAcentral.